This is a long non-coding RNA of Pogoniulus pusillus (Red-fronted tinkerbird), 1535 nucleotides long. RefSeq lists it as uncharacterized. The transcript has 3 exons. The record is from RefSeq and is a predicted model, not a curated record. Lineage: Eukaryota; Metazoa; Chordata; Aves; Piciformes; Lybiidae.
GCAAAGUGUCUGCCUAGUGAGAACAAAUCACACCAGCCCCAUCUCCCAGUGAAUCUGGCAGUGAACGGUGAAGCGGAGCUGUGACUGCAUCUGUAACAACUGCAGCAGCAACAGAGCAGAACUGGGCACAAGGAAGACACUCCAAGCUGUCUGGGUGAUCAGCAGCUAUGCUCUGCAACCCUUCACUCAGUCCUUAGUUGGGACAAUGGCUGCAAGACCAAGUUUCCAGCAAGGUCAAGAAAGGUGAAGAAAGAAGGUAGAAGCAAGAAAGUCAGAAAAGGCCUAAAUGAAAUUCUCAAAUUACUGUAAGCAGACAGUAGAAAUAGGCUGAAAAGAAAUGCAAGUACAAGAGGAAACCACCUGAGUUAGUGUAGUUAGGGCCGAACUAACAUUUUUCAUCUGAGAGCCUGAGAAAGUCUCUUAAAAGAAGCUGUUGCUACAAGGUUGGACCUCAUUGUUUCAAGGACCUUUUCCUACCUGAAUGAUUCUGUGUCAGUGGCAUGCAAAGUUACAAGCAAAAAUCAGUGUAUCCACCUGUGUCUCAUACAGAAAUAUUCUUUAACACUAGGUUUUCACUCUGGGGAAGACAUUUAUCUGGAACAGACAAGACCCUACCCAAAGCAGUUGACCACAACUAGUUCGGACAAAAGGUCCAUUCAAAUCUGGGGUUAAAAAUCCUGCUUUAAAUAGCCAGGAUCAGAAAACUGUAACAAAAGCAUUCACCUCUAGGCAGGGUAAUCUGUCCAUGGAUCAUGGCAAAUAGCUCCAAAACAAAGCAAAUCAGAGAGACAGUUACUUACAGCAUGGCAUCUGUCUCAGAAAAGAAAGCAGCAAUCAUGAAAUGCAGUAACAAGAGCAGUGCCUCAAAAGUAUUUCCCUACAGCAAGCUAUGGAGGGAGCAAGAUGAGGUAAUUAAAGCAGCCAGGAAGUACUAAGAGAUAUUUGAAGCAUGUGAGGCACAACCAUUGUCCAAAAUUAUACUAAAGCCAUUUCCAUGAUUACUGAGACUUUUCCUCCUUCAAUUAAAUUCACUUGGAAUCACCUGAACCGUCAAAAGCCAUAGGAUAACUAUCAGCAGCACUAUCAGGGCAAAGUGUGCCCAAGGAAAUCUCUGACGGGGGCCCCAGGCAGGUUGGGGAGGGACUGUUCAGAAGGGCUUGGAGUGACAGGACAAGGGUGAUGGUUUGAAAGUGGAGCAGGGCAGAUUUAGGUUGGACCUCAGGAGGAAGUUGUGCACAAGGAGAGUGGUGAGACACUGGCACAGGCUGCCCAGGGCUGUGCUUGAGGCCCUGUCCCUGCAGACAUUGAAGCUCAGGCUUGCUGUGUCCCUGUGCAGCCUGCUCUAGCUGGAAGUGUCCCUGCUGAGUGCAGGGGGCUUGGAGAGAUGCCCUUGGAGGGUCCCUUCCAACCCAAUGCAAUCUGUCAACUGUAGAAGCUUUCCUUUAGGCCAGCGAAGGUCAGUUAGAACCACACAAGGACAGGCUUUCAAUUCAAGGUUAGGUAGAAGCACACAGGUACAGGCUUUCAAUUCUGUU